RNAcentral lists this long non-coding RNA (478 nucleotides) under Mus spicilegus (steppe mouse). RNAcentral's name for it is "lncRNA (ENSMSIG00000013036.1)". Lineage: Eukaryota; Metazoa; Chordata; Mammalia; Rodentia; Muridae. The record is from RNAcentral.
GCAUUGACGGUUCAAGCCUCCUCAAGAGCACGGAAACCCAGCCAGCAUGACUCAAGGCCUGCCACGCAUCCCCAGCGUAGGACUCAUGGGCACACAAUAAUCAGUUUGGCCAUCCAGAAUGGAAAGAAGAAGAAAAGAAAAGGCUUGACACUCAGUGGCAGACAUGUAAAAAUUACUGCGUGCCCCCCAGAGACAAAGGACAAGGUGCUACUUAAACACCGAAGCUCAAGUUCAUGGCAAGAAAGUCAAUGGACCAGAAGCCCGGUACUUCAUUGCAGGGCCACAGGAGACCUCUGGGACUCUCAUUCAGAAGUAAUCUGCCCCCCCCUGAGACUUCAUAAAUGUUAAUGAUUAUUUCACCUCAAUUCUCUAUCCAAAAAAACUCCUAAAAUCUGACUCCUCUUCCCCAUCGCCAGAUGACCUCAAAUCCAUUGCACUUCUAGCCUCCGUGGCAGGAAACAUAAAGGGAUGUUUUAAG